AAGAUCUACGGAUGAAAGCAGGGGAUCGCAAGACCUUGCGCGAAUGGAGCGGCCGAUGGCAGAUUAGGUAGUUGGUGAGGUAAAGGCUCACCAAGCCUUCGAUCUGUAGCUGGUCUGAGAGGACGACCAGCCACACUGGGACUGAGACACGGCCCAGACUCCUACGGGAGGCAGCAGUGGGGAAUUUUGGACAAUGGGCGAAAGCCUGAUCCAGCCAUGCCGCGUGCAGGAUGAAGGCCUUCGGGUUGUAAACUGCUUUUGUACGGAACGAAACGGCCUUUUCUAAUAAAGAGGGCUAAUGACGGUACCGUAAGAAUAAGCACCGGCUAACUACGUGCCAGCAGCCGCGGUAAUACGUAGGGUGCAAGCGUUAAUCGGAAUUACUGGGCGUAAAGCGUGCGCAGGCGGUAAUGUAAGACAGUUGUGAAAUCCCCGGGCUCAACCUGGGAACUGCAUCUGUGACUGCAUUGCUGGAGUACGGUAGAGGGGGAUGGAAUUCCGCGUGUAGCAGUGAAAUGCGUAGAUAUGCGGAGGAACACCGAUGGCGAANGCAAUCCCCUGGACCUGUACUGACGCUCAUGCACG
This 585-nucleotide ribosomal RNA is filed under the name Variovorax sp. S12P10. RNAcentral's name for it is "bacterial SSU rRNA". It matches the Rfam family "Bacterial small subunit ribosomal RNA", at positions 189 to 755 of the family's 1533-position model. The record is from RNAcentral. Lineage: Bacteria; Pseudomonadati; Pseudomonadota; Betaproteobacteria; Burkholderiales; Comamonadaceae.